RNAcentral lists this ribosomal RNA (422 nucleotides) under uncultured eukaryote. Its description in RNAcentral is "SSU rRNA". It matches the Rfam family "Eukaryotic small subunit ribosomal RNA", at positions 592 to 1018 of the family's 1831-position model. The record is from RNAcentral.
CAAUAGCGUAUAUUAAAGUUGUUGCGGUUAAAAAGCUCGUAGUUGGAUUUCUGCCGAGGACGACUGGUCCGCCCUCUGGGUGAGCAUCUAGUUCGGCCUGGGCAUCCUCUUGGGGAACGUAGCUGCACUUGACUGUGUGGUGCGGUAUCCAGGACUUUUACUUUGAGGAAAUUAGAGUGUUCACGGCAGGCGAGCGCCUUGAAUAUAUUAGCAUGGAAUAAUAAUAUAGGAUCGCGAUUCUAUUUUGUUGGUUUCUAGAAUCACGAUAAUGAUUAAUAGGGAUAAUUGGGGGCAUUUGUAUUAACGCGUCAGAGGUGGAAUUCUUGGAUUGCGUUACGACAAACUACUGCGAAAGCAUUUGCCAAGGAUGUUUUCAUUGAUCAAGAACGAAAGUAUGGGGAUCGAAGACGAUUAGAUACCAU